GCCCUUGAAAAAAUCAAAGGUGUAACCUGCCCAAUGAUCUUAAACUUAAAAAAUAUAACCAUUUUUAAAAAGAUUUAAAGGACGCAGUAUCCUGACUGUGAUAAUGUAGCAUAAUCAUUCGCCAUUUAAUUGAUGGAUAGUAUGAAUGGUUGAACGAAUUCUUCACUGUCUUAAAAAAAGAAAUAAUGAAAUUUAAAUAAUAGUAAAGAUGCUAUUUAAAAUUGUAAGACGAAAAGACCCUAUAGAGCUUAACUAUAAGUUCUUUUACUUAAAAGAAUAUAAUUCUCAAAAUAAAGAACUUGGUAGUUUAGUUGGGGCGACUAUCUUCUAAUAUUAACGAAGACAAGCAAAAUUAAUAUAUAAUUUAUUGUAUAACCUAUAAGUUUAACAAUUACAAAAGUAGGCAUAAUGACCCGUUUUCAUUUAGUAAUUAAAGAAAACGAUCAAUAAAUAAAAGCUACCUUAGGGAUAACAGGAUAAUUUUGUUUUAGAGAUCCUAUCGAAAACAAAGUUUGUCACCUCUAUGUUGAAUUAAGAUAUCCUAGUAAUGCAGAAGUUACUAAAGGUAGGUCUGUUCGACCUUUAAAAUCUU
This 592-nucleotide ribosomal RNA is filed under the name Klyxum echinatum. Its description in RNAcentral is "partial 16S ribosomal RNA". It matches the Rfam family "Bacterial large subunit ribosomal RNA", at positions 1816 to 2597 of the family's 2925-position model. The record is from RNAcentral. Lineage: Eukaryota; Metazoa; Cnidaria; Anthozoa; Malacalcyonacea; Cladiellidae.